GAUGAACGCUGGCGGCGUGCCUAAUACAUGCAAGUCGAGCGAACAGACGCGGAGCUUGCUCCUCUGACGUUAGCGGCGGACGGGUGAGUAACACGUGGAUAACCUACCUAUAAGACUGGGAUAACUUCGGGAAACCGGAGCUAAUACCGGAUAAUAUAUUGAACCGCAUGGUUCAAUAGUGAAAGACGGUUUUGCUGUCACUUCUAGAUGGAUCCGCGCCGCAUUAGCUAGUUGGUAAGGUAACGGCUUACCAAGGCAACGAUGCGUAGCCGACCUGAGAGGGUGGUCGGCCACACUGGAACUGAGACACGGUCCAGACUCCUACGGGAGGCAGCAGUAGGGAAUCUUCCGCAGUGGGCGGAAGCCUUACGGAGCAACGCCACGUCAGUGAUGGAGGUCUUCGGAUCGUAAAACUCUGUUUUUAGGGAAGAACAAAUGUGUAAUUAACUAUGCACGUCUUGACGGUACCUAAUCAGAAAGCCACGGCUAACUACGUG
This 497-nucleotide ribosomal RNA is filed under the name uncultured bacterium. RNAcentral describes it as "partial 16S ribosomal RNA". It matches the Rfam family "Bacterial small subunit ribosomal RNA", at positions 28 to 507 of the family's 1533-position model. The record is from RNAcentral.